RNAcentral lists this ribosomal RNA (492 nucleotides) under uncultured bacterium. RNAcentral's name for it is "partial 16S ribosomal RNA". It matches the Rfam family "Bacterial small subunit ribosomal RNA", at positions 29 to 507 of the family's 1533-position model. The record is from RNAcentral.
AUUGAACGCUGGCGGCAGGCCUUACACAUGCAAGUCGAACGGCAGCACAGUAAGUGCCAGCUGUUAGGGGUGGGGGGUCGGGGGAGUGUGAGAACGAAAUCGGUAUCUAAGUUUUCGAGGGCGCUACGGUAGGGGGAUUUACGCUACUACCGAACACGAGCUGAGGGCGAAAGCAGGGGAGGCUCGGCGCUUGCGCGAUGGACUGAGCCGAUGUCGGAUUAGCUAGUUGGCGGGGUAAAGGCCCACCAAGGCGACGAUCUGUAGCUGGUCUGAGAGGAUGAUCAGCCACACUGGAACUGAGACACGGUCCAGACUCCUACGGGAGGCAGCAGUGGGGAAUAUUGGACAAUGGGCGCAAGCCUGAUCCAGCCAUACCGCGUGGGUGAAGAAGGCCUUCGGGUUGUAAAGCCCUUUUGUUGGGAAAGAAAAGCAGCAGGUUAAUACCCCGCUGUUCUGACGGUACCCAAAGAAUAAGCACCGGCUAACUUCGUG